CCAGGACAGAUUUCUAAGGAUGGGAUUCCUAUAAAAAUAAGCCUUUGGUAUUAAUGAGUUUUCCUGUCUUCAGUAUUUUCACUGCUCCUUUGGGCAACCAGGCUUCUGCUUUCCACAGCACAAAGGAUAAAACUGCUGCUUUCUUUACACUUUGUCUGCCAGGUAAAAAUGUUUGCUGCGGACAUGAUUUUAUCCCCGUGGGCCUCUUUUAAUACACUGUGAUCCCACUCACGGAUUAGUUAGACUCCAUGUGAAAUUUCUUAUUAAUUGUUUACUUUGAAGAGAGCGUCUCAUUUUUCUGCGGAUAAAGCUGUCAACAAAGCAGCCGAUGCGCCACCGUGAAAAAUGCUGCCUGUGGAAGCUGAGCGGCCCUGCGGUUCCAACGUGCAGGAGCCUCCUUCUCCUCCGCAGGUGCCCCCGGCACGCGCUGCCUGGGGUCCUCAUUCCUCAGCUCACCUUGGUUCCUCUCACACGUGAAAUUCUCGACCCCCCAAAACGGACUGUAAGAGCUCUGAAGAGAAGACCUGUGCCCAACUUGGCUCAAGAGCUCCUGGCCGCCCUGCCCACCCUGCCCCCAAAGCACUGCUCCGCCCGUGUGUAUCCCUGAAGGCAGGGGUUCUUCCCUCACCCCGCGUGCCUCCUGAAGCUCCUCAACAGGACACUUGCCGCUGUUUCUUCUGAACCCCUCACUUGGUUCAGCGUAGAAGCACAGGCUGACGGCCUCUGGGUCUGGGUGCUCAGCAGCCAAGGACACCACAGGAGCCAGUGCUGAAGGAGCUUUUCAAAACGCACAUCCCGUCAGCUCCCUGCGAGGUUUCAAGUGCUGCAGGGACGGCCCACUGCUUCUGGAAUCAGGACAGUUCUCUUUAGAGGAUCCCCAGUGACCCGCUGCUCCCUGGUCAUGAAUCUCUGCUCGCUCUCUGAAGCACAGGCCUCAUCCAGGUUCCCGAGCAAGCCAUGUGCUCUCCUCCCGAAAGGUGGUUCCCUUUGCAGGGACUUCUGCUGACAGCUGACGCGCCUGGUGAGCUGUGCCUCCCCCUUCAGAUCUUCUUCGAGGAAGCCUCCUUCACCCCAGAUAAGGCCGAAGCGCCUAUUAUAUUUUCCCAUGGUGCCCUGUGAGCCCCUGCGGCCUUGCUUGUGACAGAAAUUUUACCUGUGUUUCUGUGCUUGCUUGAUUAACAUAUGCGCCCCCUCCCAGAGGAUAAGUUUCGUGAAAACCAGGACAGCGUCACCGUCACAUAUCUAUCAGCAAGUACACACGAGAGACGUCUGCUGAAUGGAUGAAGGAGGAAAUGGCUAAAACGAAGCGUCAGAGCCUGUGCCAGCUGGGCUGGGGGUCGAGGGGCUGACCUGGCAGUGGUGGUGAAGGGAAGGCAGGGGGCAGAGGUCCUCUGUCAAAACCUUGACAAAGGUGCACAAGCAGACGUCAGAGCAUCAGUGCAUUGCAGCUGCGUGUGAAAUUCUGUUCAUGCACAGUUUUUGUGGUAACAGAGCCCACGGCACGCGUUAAAUAUUCAACUGGGUCCUGACUCUCCCAAAAGAUGAAAAAAAUCACUAGACCAAUCCAACCUUUACACAUGAACUGGAUAACACGUCGGGAGAUGAAAUGUGGUCCCUUGACUUUCUAGCUAGUGCCUGGUCCACCGCCUUUCAACCAAACCACGGCAACCUCACCAUCACCACCACCUAAAACGGCCACGUCUGUGGGCGCCGGAUCCUUUGAAGACCCACUAAGCAAAAUUCCCUGUGUGAAACGCUGGGCUGCCCGAGCAUCUCGCGAGGCGAGAGCGGGCUGGCUGUCCUCAGCCGUCCGGCCUCUUGCUCCCCUCCGUGACCUCCGCCCGAGAGAGGGUGGAAGGCGGUGUGCAGCCCUGGGCUUUGCACCCUCCGCUGGCCUCUGGUUCCUAACUAAUGAAGCCCUGGGCCUUUGCUGGGCCUUGUUUCUACAAGGCUGGACACCUUCUUUUAACAGGACGUACUUGAAAAACACGCUAUUUUCCUUUGUACUGGAAACAAAUGGUGAUUAAUGUGCUCAUUGUAAUUAAUCUGUGGUGACAGAUUAGUGGAGCAGCAGCAGUUCCCUUGCUGCUGUGGGAGCCUUCCUUGAUAGGACAGCUGGUGAGAGGGGACACCAAAUUCAAUUUGUUUCUCAUUUGCAUACAUAUGACAACCAUCUGUGCUAAUAGCACUGCAACAUCUCCAUCAGGCCCUGAGCUCGGUGUCGGCCCCUCCAGGGCUCCCGUCAGGCCUGGGAGAGGGGGAGCUCAGAGCAUAAAUAUUUGUAGAGGAAAAGGGGUGGGCUUGAUGGAACACAACCAACCAUGUCCCCUUUCAUCAGAGGUUAAGCAUGAAACACCAGCUAAGUUGCUCUCACCCACCCAGGGGAGGGGACCUUCCUCUGAGAACUCCUCCUCCUUUCAUCGAAAAGCUGCUAGUCGCUCCAUCUCAAAGAUCCCAUUGAACUGCUCGGGGUCUAGUCCCUGCCAUCCAGUCACUUGAACCAGCUUCAUUUUGGUAAAGACCUUUUUUUUUUUUUUUUUUAGUUUUUGGUCCAUACCUGCAGGGCAUAUAUAAGUUCCCAGGCUAGGGAUCAAAUCAGAGCUGCAGCUGCCAGCCUACGCCACAGCCAACAACAGCACAGGAUCUGAGCCGCAUCUGCGACCUACAGCACCUCUCUAGGGCAACGCCAGAUCCUUAACCCACUGAGUGAGGCCAGGGAUCAAACCUGCAUCCUCAUGGUUCCUAGUUGGGUUUGUUACCGCUGAGCCACAACCAGAACUCCAGAUCUUUUUCUUUUCCUUCAACCAAGAGAGAAAAGGGUUCAGUUUUGUGGGAUUUACAUGCAGGGAUGAAACUGGGCAGCAAAGGAAAAACUAGGGAGAGUUACAGGCAGUGCUCCAUCCUGGGCAGAGCAUCAAGCAGGGUGCUGGGUGGUGCGGGAGAGAGGAGGCGGUGACCACGUUGGAUGUGGCGGCCCAAGGAGCUGUCCCAGAGGAGGAGCGCGUUAAGCUGCUGUCUGCACGACAAGGAGUCGGCCUGUGACCAUCAAAGGGAAACCCAUUUCUCAGACAAAAGGGAACAGGGAGCUUGGCCGGCUGCGGAAGAGAGAGGUGGCCAGCGUGGCUGGAGGGAAGUAAGACAGGAGGCAAGCCUGGUGCGUCCGCCUUGGUUUCCUGGUGCUGGAGGGAGGCGGGGUCCCGCACUGGGGGCUUCCCACUCACCGCCCACAGCCCUGGGGGCUGAAGGCAAGGAAGCCAGGUGUCAGCAUGGCCCUGCAAACUAGAGGGGAGACCAUGUCCUCCCUCUGCCAGCUCCUGGUGUCGCCACCGGUCCUCAGGAUUCCUUGCUGGGCAGACGCUUCACCGCCGCCUCGGCGUCUGCUUCCCACGGCCACUUCCCCCGCUUGUCUCCGCUCCUCUGUACCGAGGCCAGUUGUGUCACCUUAACCAGCUGGAGCACAAGGGGCUCUGAAAGCCAGGGAAGGCGCACCGGUCCUCAGGGAGAGCAAACCUUUAAAGGCUUCUGCAGCCAACCGACAUGAGCCGGUUCCCACAUGGGUGUCACAGGUCGACGGGAAGCAGGACCCGAGGGCAGGAUGAAGGAGACCCCCUAAGGAGAUCAUCCCACCGACCUGCGGGAGCUCCACGGCACGGCGGCCGGAGCCAGGGACGCGGGAGUGACGGAGGGCGGAAGAGGCUUGGAGGGCUAGUCAGCAGGUGGGAUCCACACACCGCCCAACAGACCAGAUGGAGGUAUUUGGAAAAAUGAGGAAAGACGUUUUAGUCCUGAAUGGUUGGAAGGAUGGGGUCAUUUUGGAUGGAAAGGGGAACGUGUGGGAGGUGGGGGACACGUCUGGGAGGGGAAACCAGGUCUUCCACUGGGCAUGUAAGUUGGAGACUGUAGGAGACACCUGCGUGGACGUAAUGCAUCCACUCAGAGGAGAAGCCGGGGUUUGAGACACAAGCAUGGGAGUCAUUUGUUUCAAGUGAUUAUUUAAAGUCCACGGUGGAAGUUCUCAGGUGGUGUGGCAGUUAAGGAUGCAGCAUUGUCACUGCUGUGGCUCAGAUUUGAUCUCUGGCCCAAGAUCUUCUGUAUGUGGUGACACAGCCAAAAGCAAACAAACAAACAAAAAUCCUUCUACGUAAACUAAGCAGACUGAAAUGCAUAUGGUGACAUGAUAAGAUGCCCAGGGUGACACCAUGAUUUAUAAGAAGAAAUCAUUUUUGUUUUUUGUCCUGUUUCUGCAGUAGAGCUUCUGAAACCCUUGGCAUUUCCCAAGUAAUGAGACCAAUAAAGGUAACAUAAAAAAAAAACAACCUUAAUGUACAUUGAUGCAACCACUAUGGAAAACAGUAUGGAGGUUCCUCAAAAAACUAAAAAUAGAACUACCAUACGAUCUAGCAAUCUCACUCUUGGGCAUCUAUCCAGAGAAAAACCAUAAUUUGAAAAUAUACACGUACCACUAUGAUCACUGCAGCACUAUUCACAGUAGCCAAGACAUGCAAGCAACCUAAAUGUCCAUCAACAGAUGAAUGGACAAAGAAGAUGUGGUACAUACACACAAUGGACUAUCACUCACCCAUAAAAAAGAAUGAAAUGAUGCCAUUGGCAGCAACAUGAUGGGCCCAGAAACUAUCACAUUAAGUGAAGUUAGUCAGACAGUGAAAGACAAACAUCAUAAGAUAUCACCUAUAUGUGGAAUCUUAAAAAAAAAGGAUUCAAAUGACUCAUUUGCAGAACAGAUCCUGAGUCACAGACUUUGAAAACCUAUGGUUAUGAAAGGGGCCAGGCGGCGGGGUGGAGGGAUGGACUGGGGGUUGGGGAUUGGCAUAUACACACUGAGGUCUAUGGAACAACUGGCCAGUGGGGACCUGCUGUAGAGCACAGAGACCUCUACCCGAUAUUCUGUGAUCAUCUAGAUGGAAGAAGAAUCUGAGAGAGAAUGGAGGUGUGUAUAUGUACGACUAGGUCGCUUUGCGGUACAGCAGAAGUUAUCACAACCUUGCAAAAUAGUCAAUAAACUUUAAAAAAAAAUAUAUAUAUAUAUAUGAAUGGCCAAUAGACAGAUGAAAAGAUUAAAAAAAAGUCCAUUGUGUUGGCUAAGAUCUCAGCUCUCUCUACAAAGAGAGGAAUAGAGGGAGGAAACGAAGAAAGAAAAGGAAGGAAGGAAAGGAGGGAGGAAGGAAGAAGGGAUUCCUUCUUUCCAGCUGCAAACCCAGGGGUGCCCUGUGGGUGGGCGCCCUUCCCAAGGAUGGAUGAUUUUGCCCCAGGAAAGCGUGUGGAGAAGAGGCCAAGGCUUGGUCGAUGCUCCUCUGCCUCAUGCCUCCUUCUGUCCGCAUGUCAUUCUUUCUCCCUUUGUCCCGGUCCCCCUCCAUGAAGACACAGUCCAUGCUCAGCAUCUUUAUACCCACACACCAGGCUUCUCAGCCUCAGAACCACGGACGACUGGGGCUGGGUCGCUGCUGGGGAAGACUGUCCCACGUGUCGUGGUGCUUAGCUGGGGAAGACUGUCCCACGUGUCGUGGUGCUUAGCCGCAUCCCGGGCCCCCACCCACCAUUUGUGACAAGGAAAAGCGUCUCCAGAUAUUGAUAAAUGUUCUCCAGGAAGAGGUGGGGGGAAAAUGACCCCGGUUAAGAACCACUGCCCUAGAUCCAUCGCAAGGCUCUCUAUACAGGAGACACUCAUUAAAUAUUCUCCGCUGAUGGCGAUAGCAAUUCCGUCUUGGUACACAGCUUCUCUCCGCCUUCCUCUAUCCACUAAAGAGCACAGAUUUCUUAUUAAGAAAACAAAUUUGAAAAAAGCAUCAGAAUUUCCCAUUCACCUCUGGCCAGGGCUCCAGCCUCCUUCUUCGGAGCUGAGUGAGGUAUGAGGGGGGAUGCUUCAUUCAGCCAGUCAACACACAACAACGUUAAACCACAACGGAAUCCACAGAGCUUUCCUGCGACCAAGCCUGGUUCGAUAAGACAGGGGAGGUUAUUAACGAAGAAAAAGAGCUAGCGCACAUUCUAGUGACUUUGCAUCCCAAGUAAAAACGUCAUCUUCAGCACAACAGAUGUUCUUUUUAAAAUUUCAUCGGCCAGAAAAACAGAGGGGGCAGGAUGCAAACCAGACCAUGAGAAUGUAAUCUAGUCUACAGAGUAAUAAGACGAUAGCAUGAUCAGUCCGAAAUGGCAUGAAAUCAAACGACAGGGCGCUGUCCUUCUGGGGCACAAAGCUCCUGCCGCCCUCGU
This 6231-nucleotide long non-coding RNA is filed under the name Sus scrofa (pig). RNAcentral describes it as "lncRNA (ENSSSCG00000054614.1)". Lineage: Eukaryota; Metazoa; Chordata; Mammalia; Artiodactyla; Suidae. The record is from RNAcentral.